UGGUAAUUCUAGAGCUAAUACAUGCUGAAAACCCCGACUUCCGGAGGGGUGUAUUUAUUAGAUAAAAAACCAACGCCCUCCGGGGCUCCUUGGCGAAUCAUAAUAACUCAACGAAUCGCAUGGCCUUGCGCCGGCGAUGGUUCAUUCAAAUUUCUGCCCUAUCAACUUUCGAUGGUAGGAUAGUGGCCUACCAUGGUUUCAACGGGUAACGGGGAAUUAGGGUUCGACUCCGGAGAGGGAGCCUGAGAAACGGCUACCACAUCCAAGGAAGGCAGCAGGCGCGCAAAUUACCCAAUCCCGACGCGGGGAGGUAGUGACAAUAAAUACUGAUACAGGGCUCUUUUGGGUCUUGUAAUUGGAAUGAGUACAAUUUAAAUCCCUUAACGAGGAACAAUUGGAGGGCAAGUCUGGUGCCAGCAGCCGCGGUAAUUCCAGCUCCAAUAGCGUAUAUUAAAGUUGUUGCAGUUAAAAAGCUCGUAGUUGAACCUUGGGCCUGGCUGGCCGGUCCGCCUCACCGCGUGCACUGGUCCGGCCGGGCCUUUCCUUCUGGGGAGCCGCAUGGCCUUCACUGGCCGUGUCGGGGAACCAGGACUUUUACUUUGAAAAAAUUAGAGUGUUCAAAGCAGGCCUUUGCUCGGAUACAUUAGCAUGGAAUAAUAGAAUAGGACGUGUGGUUCUAUUUUGUUGGUUUCUAGGACCGCCGUNA
RNAcentral lists this ribosomal RNA (706 nucleotides) under Capnodiales sp. A545. RNAcentral's name for it is "SSU rRNA". It matches the Rfam family "Eukaryotic small subunit ribosomal RNA", at positions 150 to 865 of the family's 1831-position model. Lineage: Eukaryota; Fungi; Ascomycota; Dothideomycetes; Capnodiales. The record is from RNAcentral.